This 497-nucleotide ribosomal RNA is filed under the name uncultured bacterium. Its description in RNAcentral is "partial 16S ribosomal RNA". It matches the Rfam family "Bacterial small subunit ribosomal RNA", at positions 28 to 507 of the family's 1533-position model. The record is from RNAcentral.
GAUGAACGCCGGCGGCAUGCCUAAUACAUGCAAGUCGGGCGAACGGACGUGAUGCUUGCGUCUCUGAGGUUAGCGGCGGACGGGUGAGUACCACGUGGAUAACCUACCUAUAAGACUGGGAUAACUUAUGGAAACCGGAGCUAAGACCGGAUAAUGUUAUCAACCGCAGGGUUCAAAAGUGAAAGACGAUCUUGCUGUCACUUAUAGAUGGAUCCGCGCUGCCGUAGCUAGUUGGUAAGGUAACGGAUUACCAAGGCAACGAUGCAUAGACGACCUAAGAGGGUGAUCAGCCGCACGGGAACUGAGACACGGUCCAGACCCCUAAGGGAGGCAGCAGCAGGGAAUCUUCGGCAGUGGGCGGAAGCCUGACGGAGCCACGCCGCGUGAGUGAUGCAGGUCUACGGAUCGUAAAACUCUGUUAUUAGGGAAGAACAUAUGUGUAAGUCACUGUGCACAUCUUGACGGUACCCUAGCAGAAAGCCACGGCUAACUACGUG